Molecule: non-coding RNA, 375 nt
Organism: Myodes glareolus (Bank vole)
Lineage: Eukaryota; Metazoa; Chordata; Mammalia; Rodentia; Cricetidae
Source: RefSeq, a predicted model, not a curated record
GUAUGAGAAAGACGUACAGAUUUCCAGUGACCCACUGAAUCCUCAAGCCGCCCACCCACCAGCAAAAUACCAUGGCAGGGGGCCCACUUGUCACACUGGGCCCCAGAUGGCAUCAACCGAGGCACCCCACUGAAAGCAGCACCCCACCCUCCUGGAAGCCCCCUUACCGGUCACGACGGGAUAAAGAAAUAAGUUUCAGAGAGCAAGUUGCUUUGUCUAACAUGGAGAGCUGACUCAAGACACCUGCCACACUGCCUCUAGCCCUCCCUCACCAAGCACCUGAGAAAGAGAUCCCGUCCGGUCAGUUUUACAAACAAGGAAACAGCUGUGGAAAAGUUCAACAUGACCGCAAGAACUGGUACAGAAGGGCAAAGA